GGGGUUGUGGCUCAUUGGUAGAGUGCUCGCCUUGCAAGUGCGAGACCCUGGGUUCAAUCCUCAGCACCA
RNAcentral lists this transfer RNA (69 nucleotides) under Ictidomys tridecemlineatus (thirteen-lined ground squirrel). RNAcentral's name for it is "Spermophilus tridecemlineatus (thirteen-lined ground squirrel) tRNA". It matches the Rfam family "tRNA". From Rfam's summary of the family: Transfer RNA (tRNA) molecules are approximately 80 nucleotides in length. The record is from Rfam by way of RNAcentral. Lineage: Eukaryota; Metazoa; Chordata; Mammalia; Rodentia; Sciuridae.